GACGAACGCUGGCGGCGUGCUUAACACAUGCAAGUCGAACGGAAAGGCCCUGCUUUUGUGGGGUGCGCGCGUGGCGAGCGGGUGAGUAACACGUGAGUAACCUGCCCUGGGCGGUGUGAUAACGUCAGGGAAGUGGGGCUAAUACCUGAGAGGAGCUCCUGCUGCAUGGUGGGGUUUGGAAAGUUUAGGCGGUUGGGGAUGGACUCGCGGGUUAUCAGCUUGUAGGUGGGGUAGGGGCUUACCAAGGCUUUGACGGGUAGCCGGCCUGGGGGGGUGACCGGCGACAUUGGGCCUGAGAGACGGACCAGACUCGUACGGGAGGCAGCAGGGGGGAAUCUUGCCCAAUGGGCCGAAGCCUGAUGCAGCAACGCCGCGUGCGGGAUGACGGUCUUCGGGUUGUAAACCGCUUUCGCCUGUGACGAAGCGUGAGUGACGGUAACGGGUAAAGAAGCACCGGCUAACUACGUG
Molecule: ribosomal RNA, 468 nt
Filed under: uncultured bacterium
Lineage: Bacteria
Description: partial 16S ribosomal RNA
Rfam family: Bacterial small subunit ribosomal RNA
Source: RNAcentral